This 787-nucleotide ribosomal RNA is filed under the name uncultured Pelagibacteraceae bacterium. RNAcentral's name for it is "bacterial SSU rRNA". It matches the Rfam family "Bacterial small subunit ribosomal RNA", at positions 44 to 879 of the family's 1533-position model. Lineage: Bacteria; Pseudomonadati; Pseudomonadota; Alphaproteobacteria; Candidatus Pelagibacterales; Candidatus Pelagibacteraceae. The record is from RNAcentral.
ACGCCUAAUACAUGCAAGUCGAACGAAGUAGCAAUACUUAGUGGCAGACGGGUGAGUAACAUGUAGGUAUCUUCCCAUUGGUGAGGAAUAACACGAGGAAACUUGUGCUAAUACCUCAUAAGUCUUCACGGAGAAAGCUUUACGCGCCGAUGGAUGAGCCUGCACUUGAUUAGUUAGUUGGUAGGGUAAUGGCCUACCAAGACAAUGAUCAAUAGCUGAUUUGAGAGGAUGAUCAGCCACAUUGGGACUGAGACACGGCCCAAACUCCUACGGGAGGCAGCAGUAGGGAAUCUUGCACAAUGGGGGAAACCCUGAUGCAGCGAUGCCGCGUGAGUGAAGAAGGCCUUUGGGUUGUAAAGCUCUUUCGUCGGGGAAGAAAAUGACUGUACCCGAAUAAGAAGGUCCGGCUAACUUCGUGCCAGCAGCCGCGGUAAUACGAAGGGACCUAGCGUAGUUCGGAAUUACUGGGCUUAAAGAGUUCGUAGGUGGUUAAAAAAGUUGGUGGUGAAAUCCCAGAGCUUAACUCUGGAACUGCCAUCAAAACUUUUUAGCUAGAGUAUGAUAGAGGAAAGCAGAAUUUCUAGUGUAGAGGUGAAAUUCGUAGAUAUUAGAAAGAAUACCGAUUGCGAAGGCAGCUUUCUGGAUCAUUACUGACACUGAGGAACGAAAGCAUGGGUAGCGAAGAGGAUUAGAUACCCUCGUAGUCCAUGCCGUAAACGAUGUGUGUUAGACGUUGGAAAUUUAUUUUCUGUGUCGCAGCGAAAGCAAUAAACACACCGCCUGGGGA